This 253-nucleotide ribosomal RNA is filed under the name uncultured bacterium. RNAcentral describes it as "partial 16S ribosomal RNA". It matches the Rfam family "Bacterial small subunit ribosomal RNA", at positions 524 to 776 of the family's 1533-position model. The record is from RNAcentral.
UACGUAGGGUGCAAGCGUUGUCCGGAUUUAUUGGGCGUAAAGAGCGUGUAGGCGGUUAGGUAGGUCCGUUGUGAAAACUCGAGGCUCAACCUCGAGACGCCGAUGGAAACCAUCUAACUAGAGUCCGGAAGAGGAGAGUGGAAUUCCUGGUGUAGCGGUGAAAUGCGCAGAUAUCAGGAAGAACACCCGUGGCUAAGGCGGCUCUCUAGUACGGUACUGACGCUGAGACGCGAAAGCGUGGGGAGCGAACAGG